Molecule: ribosomal RNA, 301 nt
Filed under: Staphylococcus casei
Lineage: Bacteria; Bacillati; Bacillota; Bacilli; Caryophanales; Staphylococcaceae
Description: bacterial SSU rRNA
Rfam family: Bacterial small subunit ribosomal RNA
Source: RNAcentral
UAGGAUUAGAUACCCUGGUAGUCCACGCCGUAAAGCGGUGAAGUGCUAGGUGUUAGGGGGUUUCCGCCCCUUAGUGCUGCAGCUAACGCAUUAAGCACUCCGCCUGGGGAGUACGACCGCAAGGUUGAAACUCAAAGGAAUUGACGGGGACCCGCACAAGCUGUGGAGUAUGUGGUUUAAUUCGAAGCAACGCGAAGAACCUUACCAAAUCUUGACAUCCUUUGAAAACUCUAGAGAUAGAGCCUUCCCCUUCUGGGGACAAAGUGACAGGAUGGUGCAUGGUUGUCGUCAGCUCGUGUCG